GGAAGAUAGACUCCCAACAUCGACCUGAUGCAAAGGGAGGUAAGAAGGAUUGGUGCUGUUGCUGCCUUCCCCUCUGAAGUCCGGUGUCCACACUUGAAAAAGUACUUCUACAAGUAUUGUAGUAAUGUUUCCUGUUGCUCUUUGUCGUUUCUUCUGUCGCAGGUCUUCCAAGCAGAAAAAAUAUCUAUUAUACCCGGACUUGAACUAAAGUUAUUAUUGUUAUUAGAAAUCAUAGAUUCCGACGGGGAGUGUCAUGUUACACAUGCAUUGUUUGCCUUUUUUUUAUGUGUCUCAUCACUCUUCCCUUAGCCUCCUCUCAUCCCUUGUCUCCUCCCCUACUUCUCAUUCCAGCUCAUUUCAGCUUCAACCUGCAUUCAGUUACAUGCUCUGUUAGCUGUUCACACUAUGAUUUUUGUCCUAUCCAUUUGUUCAUCGGUAUUUGAUCUACACAGUUUUAAAUAAACUUCUUCACGAUCUUCAAGGUGUCAUUGGAUCGAUUCACUGUCCGCCAAUCUACCUAAGACUGCAGUUAUAGACAUCUCAACACAACCAAAUCCUCCACUGCUUCAACGGAGGGGAAUGUGUCCAGAAGAAGUUCUGUGACUGUGGUAUACAACGCAUCUGGAUCUCGGUGUCAGAUAGUGUAUAACACAGGGGCCGAGAGGGACAGUAUAUGUCGCAUGUGGGGACAGUACCACUUUGAGACGAUUGAUGGAGUUUAUUACUUUUUCUCUGGAAAAUUCACCUAUGACUUGUUACGGCAAAAUGAGCCGGACCAACACAGUUUCGCAAUACAGGUGAGAAAUCAGUUGGACUAUCCACAAGGUAAUAAUAUAAAGUAUUUUCAUUGUAUGGAGUUAGAGUGGCCAUUUUCAUAUAAUAACAUCCACCCCAGCACAUUUUAUUUGGGAGUAGCACUAAUUCUAAACUAAAUCUUGGCUCACAAAUGUUACUCUCACUUCAUCCAAAGG
Xenopus laevis (African clawed frog) is the source of this 971-nucleotide long non-coding RNA. RefSeq lists it as uncharacterized. The transcript has 3 exons. NCBI's taxonomy places the organism in Eukaryota, Metazoa, Chordata, Amphibia, Anura, Pipidae. The record is from RefSeq and is a predicted model, not a curated record.